GACCAUGGCUCAGGAUGAACGCUAGCUACAGGCUUAACACAUGCAAGUCGAGGGGCAGCAUGGUCUUAGCUUGCUAAGGCCGAUGGCGACCGGCGCACGGGUGAGUAACGCGUAUCCAACCUGCCUUACACUCUUGGACAGCCUUCUGAAAGGGAGAUUAAUACAAGAUGUUAUCAUGAGUAAGCAUUUUCGCAUGAUUAAAGGUUUACCGGUGUAAGAUGGGGAUGCGUUCCA
RNAcentral lists this ribosomal RNA (234 nucleotides) under uncultured bacterium. Its description in RNAcentral is "partial 16S ribosomal RNA". It matches the Rfam family "Bacterial small subunit ribosomal RNA", at positions 15 to 240 of the family's 1533-position model. The record is from RNAcentral.